GGACGCUUCCUGCCGGCCGGCAACCAGGACCCCAUCGGGUGGGAGUCCUGGGUGCAGGCUGGCACAUCAGGAGGGCAAGACCCAGCUCUGGGGAAUCCGGCAGGAGGGCUUGAGGAGGACGGGAGGGGACAGCCCAGGCCGAGGGCUGUGACACAGACACCCCCCGGCCACUGGUGACUCAGGCUGCUUCACUUCAGUGCUCCCUGUCUUGACUUACUCACCUAUUACAUGGUGGAGAUCUACCUGCGGAAUCAGUAAUUCUGUUUUGAGGAUCAAACAAGGGCCCAGGAUCGUGUGAACACAGCUGUCACGGGCGCUGGGAAACCAAGAUCUCCGUGUACCUUGCUUUAUUGCGAUAUCUGCCACAUCUCGGUGGUCUGGAAACCAAGCCACACUGUCUGUCCUGGACUGUGGGACUAUGAAGACUCCCUUUUCAAAAACAAACAAGCAAAAGACACCCGUUGGCCCUCCACUUGCUGGGAACUUGGCUUCUGACAUCUUCAUGUUGAGAAAUACGAGGGCCUCUGCGGCUUCUCCCCAGACGCUCGUCCCUCCCUGGCUCUCCCGCCGCGUUUCUGCAGGAAGGACCAGCGCAGAGCAGGGCCCUGUGCAGACCUGUCUCAGCCGAGGCCCGCUGCCCGGGGCUUGGACCCCACCUCCUUGGACGCACCGGCCGGUGUUGGUCUGCAAGGAGCCUCCACUGUCAGAAGCGGGGCUGGCUUCAGUCUUCACUUCAGAUGCUUUCGUGCUGCUCUGCUUUUAAUUAAACCAGCCGCAGGCAGCUUUGCCCGCUGCCGCCUCUUUCUGCGUCAGGUGCAGCGUCUUACACUCAGCACGUCCUGCCCGGCACACCACAUCACCCGCCGCCUCCA
This is a long non-coding RNA of Bos taurus (domestic cattle), 872 nucleotides long. The record is from Ensembl. Lineage: Eukaryota; Metazoa; Chordata; Mammalia; Artiodactyla; Bovidae.